GACGAACGCUGGCGGCGUGCUUAACACAUGCAAGUCGAACGGAAAGGCCCUGCUUUUGUGGGGUGCUCGAGUGGCGAACGGGUGAGUAACACGUGAGUAACCUGCCCUUGACUUUGGGAUAACUUCAGGAAACUGGGGCUAAUACCGGAUAGGAGCUCCUGCUGCAUGGUGGGGGUUGGAAAGUUUCGGCGGUUGGGGAUGGACUCGCGGCUUAUCAGCUUGUUGGUGGGGUAGUGGCUUACCAAGGCUUUGACGGGUAGCCGGCCUGAGAGGGUGACCGGCCACAUGGGGAGUGAGAUACGGCCGAGACUCCUACGGGAGGAAGCAGUGGGGAAUAUUGCAAAAUGGGCGGAAGGCUGAUGCAGCAACGCCGCGUGCGGGAUGACGGCCUUCGGGUUGUAAACCGCUUUCGCCUGUGACGAAGCGUGAGUGACGGUAAUGGGUAAAGAAGCACCGGCUAACUACG
This 466-nucleotide ribosomal RNA is filed under the name uncultured bacterium. Its description in RNAcentral is "partial 16S ribosomal RNA". It matches the Rfam family "Bacterial small subunit ribosomal RNA", at positions 28 to 505 of the family's 1533-position model. The record is from RNAcentral.